UGGGGAAUUUUGGACAAUGGGCGAAAGCCUGAUCCAGCAAUGCCGCGUGUGUGAAGAAGGCCUUCGGGUUGUAAAGCACUUUUGUCCGGAAAGAAAUCCUUGGCUCUAAUACAGUCGGGGGAUGACGGUACCGGAAGAAUAAGCACCGGCUAACUACGUGCCAGCAGCCGCGGUAAUACGUAGGGUGCCAGCGUUAAUCGGAAUUACUGGGCGUAAAGCGUGCGCAGGCGGUUUGCUAAGACCGAUGUGAAAUCCCCGGGCUCAACCUGGGAACUGCAUUGGUGACUGGCAGGCUAGAGUAUGGCAGAGGGGGGUAGAAUUCCACGUGUAGCAGUGAAAUGCGUAGAGAUGUGGAGGAAUACCGAUGGCGAAGGCAGCCCCCUGGGCCAAUACUGACGCUCAUGCACGAAAGCGUGGGGAGCAAACAGGAUUAGAUACCCUGGUAGUCCACGCCCUAAACGAUGUCAACUAGUUGUUGGGGAUUCAUUUCCUUAGUAACGUAGCUAACGCGUGAAGUUGACCGCCUGGGGAGUACGGUCGCAAGAUUAAAACUCAAAUGAAUUGACGGGGUCAUA
This 575-nucleotide ribosomal RNA is filed under the name uncultured bacterium. RNAcentral's name for it is "partial 16S ribosomal RNA". It matches the Rfam family "Bacterial small subunit ribosomal RNA", at positions 355 to 923 of the family's 1533-position model. The record is from RNAcentral.